RNAcentral lists this ribosomal RNA (469 nucleotides) under uncultured Alphaproteobacteria bacterium. Its description in RNAcentral is "bacterial SSU rRNA". It matches the Rfam family "Bacterial small subunit ribosomal RNA", at positions 9 to 524 of the family's 1533-position model. Lineage: Bacteria; Pseudomonadati; Pseudomonadota; Alphaproteobacteria. The record is from RNAcentral.
GAGUUUGAUCCUGGCUCAGAACGAACGCUGGCGGCAUGCCUAACACAUGCAAGUCGAACGAGACCUUCGGGUCUAGUGGCGGACGGGUGAGUAACGCGUGGGAACCUGCACUUCAGUGGGGGAUAACGACGGGAAACUGUCGCUAAUACCGCAUACGCCCUACGGGGGAAAGAUUUAUCGCUGAAGGAUGGGCCCGCGUCGGAUUAGCUAGUUGGUGAGGUAACGGCUCACCAAGGCGACGAUCCGUAGCUGGUCUAAGAGGAUGAUCAGCCACACUGGGACUGAGACACGGCCCAGACUCCUACGGGAGGCAGCAGUGGGGAAUAUUGGACAAUGGGGGAAACCCUGAUCCAGCAAUGCCGCGUGAGUGAUGAAGGCCUUAGGGUUGUAAAGCUCUUUCGGUGGUGACGAUGAUGACGGUAACCACAGAAGAAGCCCCGGCUAACUCCGUGCCAGCAGCCGCCGUAAG